RNAcentral lists this ribosomal RNA (524 nucleotides) under uncultured bacterium. RNAcentral's name for it is "partial 16S ribosomal RNA". It matches the Rfam family "Bacterial small subunit ribosomal RNA", at positions 28 to 523 of the family's 1533-position model. The record is from RNAcentral.
GACGAACGCUGGCGGCGUGCUUAACACAUGCAAGUCGAACGAGACGAUUGAAAGCUUGCUUUCGAAAGUCGAGUGGCAAACGGGUGAGUAACGCGUAGACAACCUGCCUUUGAGAUGGGGACAACAGUUCGAAAGGACUGCUAAUACCGAAUGUUGUAUAUUUUCCACAUGGAAGAUAUAUUAAAGAUGGCCUCUAUUUAUAAGCUAUCGCUCAAAGAUGGGUCUGCGUCUGAUUAGCUGGUUGGUGGGGUAACGGCCUACCAAGGCGAUGAUCCGUAGACGGGCUGAGAGGAUGAACGGCCACAUUGGGACUGCGACACGGCCCAGACGCCUACGGGAGGCAGCAGUGGGGAAUCUUCCACAAUGGAGGAAAGUCUGAUGGAGCAACGCCGCGUGAGUGAAGAAGGGUUUCGGCUCGUAAAGCUCUGUUGUCGGGGACGAAUGUGCAGUAUUUGAAUAAAGUACUGUAAUGACGGUACCUGACGAGGAAGCCACGGCUAACUACGUGCCAGCAGCCGCCGCGG